RNAcentral lists this ribosomal RNA (506 nucleotides) under uncultured bacterium. RNAcentral describes it as "partial 16S ribosomal RNA". It matches the Rfam family "Bacterial small subunit ribosomal RNA", at positions 29 to 523 of the family's 1533-position model. The record is from RNAcentral.
AGUGAACGCUGGCGGUAGGCCUAACACAUGCAAGUCGAACGGCAGCACAGGAGAGCUUGCUCUCUGGGUGGCGAGUGGUGGACGGGUGAGGAAUACAUCGGAAUCUACUCUGUCGUGGGGGAUAACGUAGGGAAACUUACGCUAAUACCGCAUACGACCUACGGGUGAAAGCAGGGGACCUUCGGGCCUUGCGCGAUUGAAUGAGCCGAUGUCGGAUUAGCUAGUUGGCGGGGUAAAGGCCCACCAAGGCGACGAGCCGUAGCUGGUCUGAGAGGAUGAUCAGCCACACUGGAACUGAGACACGGUCCAGACUCCUACGGGAGGCAGCAGUGGGGAAUAUUGGACAAUGGGCGCAAGCCUGAUCCAGCCAUACCGCGUGGGUGAAGAAGGCCUUCGGGUUGUAAAGCCCUUUUGUUGGGAAAGAAAUCCAGCUGGCUAAUACCCGGUUGGGAUGACGGUACCCAAAGAAUAAGCACCGGCUAACUUCGUGCCAGCCGCCGCAGUAA